GGUGAAUGUUUGACUGAGUCAGACCCAGAAGCAGAGGUGGAGCAUUCUGAACAAGCAUGAAGAUUCAGCAGCAGUGACUUAAAAAUCAGGAGGGUUUUUAAAAUGGCUCGUUCUCCAGACACCAACAAACAUGAACUUGUUUCCAGAAAAGGGAUGGAUGGUUCUUCUUAGUGCUUGGACUGAUUUUAGAAGCAGUAGAGACUCGGAUGGAAGAACAAAAACAUCCAAAGCGAAUUUUGUUGCCUGAACAUGUGAUCAGAGCAUCUGGACCAGGGAGGUGAAAAGGGGAAGAGAUAAGGAUUAGUCAUUAGUGAGGAAUUUCAGCCUGACCUGGUCCAUGGAGGACUGCAAUAAGACUUCAGACACGAAGACCCUCCCUGCCAGCCAGGGGAAAUAGCUGCAUGCGAAAGGAUCCAUGUAAAAGAUUUACCUAUGUUCAUAUAACAGUGAGUGAAAAUGUACAACUCUGUGUAUGUUAGUAGACAUAAACUGUUUUUAAUAGGUCCCACCUCCAGUGCCCACUGACUUCAUCCACACACUUAAACAACAGAAGCCUCAAAGUCUUCCACCUUAUCAGAUAGAACAAACA
Molecule: long non-coding RNA, 589 nt
Organism: Xiphophorus couchianus (Monterrey platyfish)
Lineage: Eukaryota; Metazoa; Chordata; Actinopteri; Cyprinodontiformes; Poeciliidae
Exons: 2
Source: RefSeq, a predicted model, not a curated record